CCUACGGGGGGCUGCAGUGGGGAAUAUUGCACAAUGGGCGCAAGCCUGAUGCAGCGACGCCGCGUGGGGGAUGACGGCCUUCGGGUUGUAAACUCCUUUCGCCAGGGACGAAGCGCAAGUGACGGUACCUGGAGAAGAAGCACCGGCCAACUACGUGCCAGCAGCCGCGGUAAUACGUAGGGUGCGAGCGUUGUCCGGAAUUACUGGGCGUAAAGAGCUCGUAGGCGGUUUGUCGCGUCGUCUGUGAAAUCCUGCAACUCAAUUGUAGGCGUGCAGGCGAUACGGGCAGACUUGAGUACUACAGGGGAGACUGGAAUUCCUGGUGUAGCGGUGAAAUGCGCAGAUAUCAGGAGGAACACCGGUGGCGAAGGCGGGUCUCUGGGUAGUAACUGACGCUGAGGAGCGAAAGCGUGGGGAGCGAACAGGAUUAGAUACCCGAGUAGUC
Molecule: ribosomal RNA, 445 nt
Filed under: uncultured Gordonia sp.
Lineage: Bacteria; Bacillati; Actinomycetota; Actinomycetes; Mycobacteriales; Gordoniaceae
Description: bacterial SSU rRNA
Rfam family: Bacterial small subunit ribosomal RNA
Source: RNAcentral